GGCCUUUUGAUUAUAAUCUAAGGUCUAACCUGCCCACUGAGUAGUUAAAUGGCCGCGGUACACUGACCGUGCAAAGGUAGCAUAAUCAUUAGUUUCUUAAUUUGAAGCUGGAAUGAAUGGUUGAACAAGAAAAUGGCUGUCUCUAUUUAAAAUUUAAAAUUUUAUUUUUAAGUAAAAAAGCUUAAAUGUAGUUAAAAGACGAGAAGACCCUAUAGAGUUUUAUAUUUUUUUAUAUUUGAAUUUUUAGUAUUAUUACCUUAUUUAUAAAAAUUUAUUUGGUUGGGGAGAUUGAAAAAUUUAAUUAACUUUUUUUAUAUCGAUACAUAUAUUUAUGAGAAAUUGAUCCAUUUUUAUGAUUAUAAGAUUAAAUUACCUUAGGGAUAACAGCGUAAUCUUUUUUGAGAGUUCUAAUCGAAAGAAGGGUUUGCGACCUCGAUGUUGGAUUAAAAUUAAUUUUUGGUGUAGAAGCUGGGAAUUUUAGGUCUGUUCGACCUUUAAAAUUU
Molecule: ribosomal RNA, 503 nt
Filed under: Dorysthenes fossatus
Lineage: Eukaryota; Metazoa; Arthropoda; Insecta; Coleoptera; Cerambycidae
Description: partial 16S ribosomal RNA
Rfam family: Bacterial large subunit ribosomal RNA
Source: RNAcentral